This is a non-coding RNA of Boleophthalmus pectinirostris (great blue-spotted mudskipper), 75 nucleotides long. Lineage: Eukaryota; Metazoa; Chordata; Actinopteri; Gobiiformes; Gobiidae. The record is from the annotation of a RefSeq genome assembly.
GCUGAAAUAGCUCAGUUGGGAGAGCGUUAGACUGAAGAUCUAAAGGAUCCCUGGUUCAAGUCCCGGGUUUUGGCA